GACGAACGCUGGCGGCGUGCUUAACACAUGCAAGUCGAACGGAAAGGCCCUGCUUUUGUGGGGUGCUCGAGUGGCGAACGGGUGAGUAACACGUGAGUAACCUGCCCUUGACUUUGGGAUAACUUCAGGAAGCUGGGGCUAAUACCGGAUAGGAGCUCCUGCUGCAUGGUGGGGGUUGGAAAGUUUCGGCGGUUGGGGAUGGACUCGCGGCUUAUCAGCUUGUUGGUGGGGUAGUGGCUUACCAAGGCUUUGACGGGUAGCCGGCCUGAGAGGGUGACCGGCCACAUUGGGACUGAGAUACGGCCCAGACUCCUACGGGAGGCAGCAGUGGGGAAUAUUGCACAAUGGGCGGAAGCCUGAUGCAGCAACGCCGCGUGCGGGAUGACGGCCUUCGGGUUGUAAACCGCUUUCGCCUGUGACGAAGCAUGAGUGACGGUAAUGGGUAAAGAAGCACCGGCUAACUACGUG
This 468-nucleotide ribosomal RNA is filed under the name uncultured bacterium. Its description in RNAcentral is "partial 16S ribosomal RNA". It matches the Rfam family "Bacterial small subunit ribosomal RNA", at positions 28 to 507 of the family's 1533-position model. The record is from RNAcentral.